AUAAUUUAAGACUGGAAUGAAAGAGUCCACCUAAAGAAAUAUAUUUCUCUAAUUACUCUCAAAUUUUACUUUUUAGUAAAAAGGCUAAAAUAUACCUUAAAGACAAGAAGACCCUGUAAAACUUUUCACAAUUAUAAUUUUAAACUAAAUCUUGUGUUUAGCUGGGGCGGCAAAGAAUAAAAACACUCUUAAAUCUUAAUAAAAUUUACCAUACCCAGAAUUUCUGAAAAUCAAUUAAGCUACUUCAGGGAUAACAGCGUUAUACAUUUUAAAAGACCUUAUUGAAAAAUGUGAUUACGACCUCGAUGUUGGAUUGU
RNAcentral lists this ribosomal RNA (317 nucleotides) under Tityus quirogae. Its description in RNAcentral is "partial 16S ribosomal RNA". Lineage: Eukaryota; Metazoa; Arthropoda; Arachnida; Scorpiones; Buthidae. The record is from RNAcentral.